Long non-coding RNA from Suricata suricatta (meerkat), 561 nucleotides. RefSeq lists it as uncharacterized. The record is from RefSeq and is a predicted model, not a curated record. The transcript is spliced from 4 exons. Lineage: Eukaryota; Metazoa; Chordata; Mammalia; Carnivora; Herpestidae.
CCAGGGAGAAAGGGGUUUUCAGACCUGGAGAGUGGGCCCGCGCCAGGGCCGUUGGUCCCUCGGGCUCACUGGUGCGCGAGCAGCCCCCAAGCCUUUGACAACCACGUGCCAUGCUGGAAAAUCAACAAAUUCACUAGAGGAUGUUAACUCCUUUUCCCCAUCUCUGUUCAGGAGCGUUCUCUGGGAAACACCUCCGUUUCCAGCAGCCAACUGCUGUGUUGUGCACAGGCCCGUGCAGAAGUACACACGACAAGAAACCAAGGCCUCAGGCCAACAGCCCGUGAGGACGGGGCGCUCAGUUGAACAGGCUGUGAAAAACCGAAUCCUACCACCAGCCACUGCAGUGAGUGUGGAAGCCUGGAACUUCCCCCGAGGGCUGGUAGACGUGUCUUUGCUGUUACGACUCGGGAACAUAACCGGCCAUCAACAACACGGCUUGAAUGGAAGAGAUGUGACCCCGUUGAUGAUAUGCUCUCCUGGAACCCUCCCUAAAGGCGCAGCUGCCCAGAAGAACAAUAAAUUUGUAUAUCAUGUUCAUUUAUUUUACAGAAUUAGAAGAAU